This 569-nucleotide ribosomal RNA is filed under the name uncultured bacterium. Its description in RNAcentral is "partial 16S ribosomal RNA". It matches the Rfam family "Bacterial small subunit ribosomal RNA", at positions 355 to 1375 of the family's 1533-position model. The record is from RNAcentral.
UGGGAAAUAUUGCACAAUGGGCGAAAGCCUGAUGCAGCAACGCCGCGUGAGGGACGACGGCCUUCGGGUUGUAAACCUCUUUUAGCAAGGAAGAAGCGAAAGUGACGGUACUUGCAGAAAAAGCGCCGGCUAACUACGUGCCAGCAGCCGCGGUAAUACGUAGGGCGCAAGCGUUAUCCGGAAUUAUUGGGCGUAAAGAGCUCGUAGGCGGUUUGUCGCGUCUGCUGUGAAAACCCGAGGCUCAACCUCGGGCCUGCAGUGGGUACGGGCAGACUAGAGUGCGGUAGGGGAGAUUGGAACUCCUGGUGUAGCGGUGGAAUGCGCAGAUAUCAGGAAGAACACCGAUGGCGAAGGCAGAUCUCUGGGCCGUAACUGACGCUGAGGAGCGAAAGGGUGGGGAGCAAACAGGCUUAGAUACCCUGGUAGUCCACCCCGUAAACGUUGGGAACUAGUUGUGGGGUCCAUUCCACGGAUUCCGUGACGCAGCUAACGCAUUAAGUUCCCCGCCUGGGGAGUACGGCCGCAAGGCUAAAACUGCAAAUGAAUUGACGGGGUCAUAGCUGUUUCCU